This 433-nucleotide ribosomal RNA is filed under the name uncultured bacterium. Its description in RNAcentral is "partial 16S ribosomal RNA". It matches the Rfam family "Bacterial small subunit ribosomal RNA", at positions 29 to 507 of the family's 1533-position model. The record is from RNAcentral.
AACGAACGCUGGCGGCAUGCCUAACACAUGCAAGUCGAACGAGACCUUCGGGUCUAGUGGCGCACGGGUGCGUAACGCGUGGGAACCUGCCCUUAGGUUCGGAAUAACUCCCCGAAAGGGGUGCUAAUACCGGAUAAUGUCUUCGGACCAAAGAUUUAUCGCCGUUGGAUGGGCCCGCGUUGGAUUCGCUGGUUGGUAGGGUAAAAGCCUACCAAGGCGACGAUCCAUAGCUGGUCUGAGAGGAUGAGCAGCCACGCUGGAACUGAGACACGGCCCAGACUCCUACGGGAGGGAGCAGUGUGGAAUAUUGGACGAGGGGCGAAAUCCUGAUCCAGCAAUGCCGCGUGAGUGAGGAAGGCCUUAGGGUUGUAAAGCUCUUUUACCCGGGAUGAUAAUGACAGUACCGGGAGAAUAAGCUCCGGCUAACUCCGUG